GAUGAAGAACGUAGCGAAAUGCGAUAAGUAAUGCGAAUUGCAGAAUUUCCGUGAGUCAUCGAAUCUUUGAACGCACAUUGCGCCCAUUGGUAUUCCGAUGGGCAUGCCUGUUCGAGCGUCAUUAUCCUCCCUCAAACCUCGGGUUUGGUGUUGGACCCAAGUUGUGCGAUGAACAACUGGUCUUAAAGACAAUGACGGCGUCCGUAGGACCCUCGAUGCAACGAGCUUCUCAGCAGCACGCGUCGAGUUUCAAGGACCUUUCGGGCCGGUCUCCUUUACUUCUUACAAGGUUGACCUCGGAUCAGGUAGGAAUACCCGCUGAACUUAAGCAUAUCAAUAAGCGGAGGA
RNAcentral lists this unclassified non-coding RNA (348 nucleotides) under soil metagenome. RNAcentral's name for it is "partial contains 5.8S ribosomal RNA, internal transcribed spacer 2, and large subunit ribosomal RNA". The stretch from base 1 to 121 matches the Rfam family "5.8S ribosomal RNA", at positions 35 to 154 of the family's 154-position model. The record is from RNAcentral.